UACAGGGGGUGCAAACGUUGCUCGGAAUCAUUGGGCGUAAAGCGCACGUAGGCGGUUCGUUAUGUCGGAUGUGAAAGCCCUUGGCUUAACCGAGGAAGUGCAUCCGAAACUGGCGAGCUAGAGUACUAAAGAGGAUCGCGGAAUUCCCGGUGUAGAGGUGAAAUUCGUAGAUAUCGGGAGGAACACCGGUGGCAAAGGCGGCGAUCUGGGUAGAUACUGACGCUGAGGUGCGAAAGCGUGGGGAGCAAACAGG
Molecule: ribosomal RNA, 253 nt
Filed under: uncultured bacterium
Lineage: Bacteria
Description: partial 16S ribosomal RNA
Rfam family: Bacterial small subunit ribosomal RNA
Source: RNAcentral